RNAcentral lists this ribosomal RNA (242 nucleotides) under uncultured Actinomycetales bacterium. RNAcentral describes it as "partial 16S ribosomal RNA". It matches the Rfam family "Bacterial small subunit ribosomal RNA", at positions 89 to 334 of the family's 1533-position model. The record is from RNAcentral. Lineage: Bacteria; Bacillati; Actinomycetota; Actinomycetes; Actinomycetales.
ACUCGAGUGGCGAACGGGUGAGUAACACGUGGGUGAUCUGCCCUAGCACUUCGGGAUAAGCCUGGGAAACUGGGUCUAAUACCGGAUAGGAGCCAUUUUUAGUGUGAUGGUUGGAAAGUUUUUCGGUGUAGGAUGAGCUCGCGGCCUAUCAGCUUGUUGGUGGGGUAAUGGCCUACCAAGGCGGCGACGGGUAGCCGGCCUGAGAGGGUGGACGGCCACAUUGGGACUGAGAUACGGCCCAG